AACGAACGCUGGCGGCAUGCCUAACACAUGCAAGUCGAACGAGACCUUCGGGUCUAGUGGCGCACGGGUGCGUAACGCGUGGGAAUCUGCCCUUAGGUUCGGAAUAACUCAGGGAAACUUGAGCUAAUACCGGAUGAUGACGAAAGUCCAAAGAUUUAUCGCCUAGGGAUGAGCCCGCGUAGGAUUAGCUAGUUGGUGGGGUAAAGGCCUACCAAGGCGACGAUCCUUAGCUGGUCUGAGAGGAUGAUCAGCCACACUGGGACUGAGACACGGCCCAGACUCCUACGGGAGGCAGCAGUGGGGAAUAUUGGACAAUGGGCGAAAGCCUGAUCCAGCAAUGCCGCGUGAGUGAUGAAGGCCUUAGGGUUGUAAAGCUCUUUUACCCGGGAAGAUAAUGACUGUACCGGGAGAAUAAGCCCCGGCUAACUCCGUGCCAGCAGCCGCGGUAAUACGGAGGGGGCUAGCGUUGUUCGGAAUUACUGGGCGUAAAGCGCACGUAGGCGGCUUUGUAAGUUAGAGGUGAAAGCCCGGGGCUCAACUCCGGAAUUGCCUUUAAGACUGCAUCGCUUGAACGUCGGAGAGGUGAGUGGAAUUCCGAGUGUAGAGGUGAAAUUCGUAGAUAUUCGGAAGAACACCAGUGGCGAAGGCGGCUCACUGGACGACUGUUGACGCUGAGGUGCGAAAGCGUGGGGAGCAAAC
RNAcentral lists this ribosomal RNA (699 nucleotides) under uncultured Alphaproteobacteria bacterium. RNAcentral describes it as "bacterial SSU rRNA". It matches the Rfam family "Bacterial small subunit ribosomal RNA", at positions 28 to 773 of the family's 1533-position model. Lineage: Bacteria; Pseudomonadati; Pseudomonadota; Alphaproteobacteria. The record is from RNAcentral.